AGAGUUUGAUCAUGGCUCAGAUUGAACGCUGGCGGCGUGCCUAACACAUGCAAGUCGAGCGGUAACAGGUGUAGCAAUACAUGCUGACGAGCGGCGAACGGGUGAGUAAUGCUUCGGAAUCUACCCAAUGGUGGGGAAUAACCAGCCGAAAGGUUGGCUAAUACCGCAUACGUCCCACGGGAGAAAGCAGGGGAUCGCAAGACCUUGCGCCAAUGGAUGAGCCGAAGUCGGAUUAGCUAGUUGGUAGGGUAACGGCCUACCAAGGCGACGAUCCGUAGCUGGUCUGAGAGGACGACCAGCCACACUGGGACUGAGACACGGCCCAGACUCCUACGGGAGGCAGCAGUGGGGAAUAUUGGACAAUGGGGGAAACCCUGAUCCAGCGACGCCGCGUGUGUGAAGAAGGCCUGCGGGUUGUAAAGCACUUUUAGUGGGGAUGAAAAGUUCAGGGCUAACACCUCUGGAUCUUGACCUAACCCACAGAAAAAGCACCGGCUAACUCUGUGCCAGCAGCCGCGGUAAUACAGAGGGUGCAAGCGUUAAUCGGAAUUACUGGGCGUAAAGCGUGCGUAGACGGUUACAUAAGUCGGGUGUGAAAGCCCCGGGCUCAACCUGGGAAUUGCAUUCGAGACUGCGUAGCUAGGGUGCGGAAGAGGGAAGCGGAAUUUCCGGUGUAGCGGUGAAAUGCGUAGAUAUCGGAAGGAACACCAGUGGCGAAAGCGGCUUCCUGGUCCAGCACCGACGUUCAGGCACGAAAGCGUGGGGAGCAAACAGGAUUAGAUACCCUAGUAGUCC
This 795-nucleotide ribosomal RNA is filed under the name uncultured bacterium. Its description in RNAcentral is "bacterial SSU rRNA". It matches the Rfam family "Bacterial small subunit ribosomal RNA", at positions 8 to 796 of the family's 1533-position model. The record is from RNAcentral.